UCAGUAACACGUAGUCAACAUGCCCAGAGGACGUGGAUAACCUCGGGAAACUGAGGAUAAACCGCGAUAGGUCAUGAUUUCUGGAAUGGUUUAUGGCUGAAAUCUAUAUGGCCUCUGGAUUGGACUGCGGCCGAUCAGGCUGUUGGUGAGGUAAUGGCCCACCAAACCUGUAACCGGUACGGGCUCUGAGAGGAGGAGCCCGGAGAUGGGCACUGAGACAAGGGCCCAGGCCCUAUGGGGCGCAGCAGGCGCGAAAUCUCUGCAAUAGGCGAAAGCUUGACAGGGUUACUCUGAGUGAUUCCCGCUAAGGGGAUCUUUUGGCACCUCUAAAAAUGGUGCAGAAUAAGGGGUGGGCAAGUCUGGUGCCAGCCGCC
Molecule: ribosomal RNA, 374 nt
Filed under: unidentified archaeon
Lineage: Archaea
Description: bacterial SSU rRNA
Rfam family: Archaeal small subunit ribosomal RNA
Source: RNAcentral